This 534-nucleotide long non-coding RNA is filed under the name Ricinus communis (castor bean). Its description in RNAcentral is "long non-coding RNA (RCOM_LNC001887)". The record is from RNAcentral. Lineage: Eukaryota; Viridiplantae; Streptophyta; Magnoliopsida; Malpighiales; Euphorbiaceae.
UUUAAAGGGUUUUAUGCCCUCAACGUUUCAUAUAUCUAGGCUGCAUUAAUCUGCUUUCAUUUCACAACAUUACUUGCAUUCUAAGAUUGAACAUUAGGAUUGAAAAUGACAAUUGUAUCUAUAAGAAAACAAACCCAAGAUCACUUUUUACAAAAGCAUUAAGUUUAUGCAUGUUUCCUUCCAUAGACUUGAAUUUAUAAUAUUUGAACUGCUCAUGAAAAGACAUCAGAUUAGUGCAUCAGUAUACAAAAAUGGGAAAUGUGCAACUGCUGCACGUAUAUACAAGUCAACAUCAGAAGAUGAGCUGCCUCACUAGCAACAUUAAAACCUUCAUGUGCAAUCCCUCUGUGCAUAAAUGAAGCUAGGAAAAAGAAAAUCUGAAAAAUAAGCCUUAAUAAAUUUUUAGCAUUGAAUUUAAUCACUAUUCUUAUUGCAGUAAUAGGAAACUUUCUACAACACUAUUGCAGGUUCUAAAAAGAGUCGUUGGCUUGUGCUUUAUGCAAAUUAUAAUUAAUAAGAAUUCAUUCAAAAACA